UUACGGGUAGAUCUCCACCCUUGAAUAAUAAUAUUGUUGCUUUAGCGGAUCGCUUCGGCUAUCGACUUCGGUUGGUACGUAUCCGCCAGAGAACCACAAACUUUGAAUUACAGUGUCGUCUGAGUACUAUAUAAUAGUUAAAACUUUCAACAACGGAUCUCUUGGUUCUGGCAUCGAUGAAGAACGCAGCGAAAUGCGAUAAGUAAUGUGAAUUGCAGAAUUCAGUGAAUCAUCGAAUCUUUGAACGCACAUUGCGCCCCUUGGUAUUCCGGGGGGCAUGCCUGUUCGAGCGUCAUUAUAACCCUCAAGUCUAGCUUGGUGUUGGAGCAUGCUAUCUAGCAGCUCUUAAAAUCAGUGGCAGUGCCUUCCGGUUCUAAGCGUAGUAAUUCUUCUCGCUAUAGAAACCGGUUGGCCCGCGCCAGAACCCCUAAUUUUCUAUGGUUGACCUCGGAUCAGGUAGGGAUACCCGCUGAACUUAAGCAUAUCAAUAAGCGGAGGAAAAGAAACCAACAGGGAUUACCUCAGUAACGGCGUGUGAAGCGGUAAAAGCUCAAAUUUGAAAUCUGGCUCUUUCAGGGUCCGAGUUGUAAUUUGUAGAAGAUGCUUUGGGUGUGGCUCCGGUCUAAGUUCCUUGGAACAGGACGUCAUAGAGGGUGAGAAUCCCGUAUGUGAUCGGUGGCCUUCGCCUGUGUAAAGCUCUUUCGACGAGUCGAGUUGUUUGGGAAUGCAGCUCAAAAUGGGUGGUAUAUUUCAUCUAAAGCUAAAUAUUGGCCAGAGACCGAUAGCGCACAAGUAGAGUGAUCGAAAGAUGAAAAGCACUUUGGAAAGAGAGUUAAACAGUACGUGAAAUUGCUGAAAGGGAAGCGCUUGCAAUCAGACUUGUAUGUAGUUGAUCAUCUAGUGUUUUCACUGGUGCACUCUGCUAUAUUCAGGCCAGCAUCGG
This 943-nucleotide ribosomal RNA is filed under the name uncultured fungus. RNAcentral describes it as "eukaryotic LSU rRNA". The stretch from base 443 to 943 matches the Rfam family "Eukaryotic large subunit ribosomal RNA", at positions 1 to 505 of the family's 3401-position model. The record is from RNAcentral. Lineage: Eukaryota; Fungi.